This 1453-nucleotide ribosomal RNA is filed under the name Candidatus Kaiserbacteria bacterium RIFCSPLOWO2_01_FULL_54_24. Its description in RNAcentral is "bacterial LSU rRNA". The stretch from base 1 to 1233 matches the Rfam family "Bacterial large subunit ribosomal RNA", at positions 1520 to 2925 of the family's 2925-position model. The record is from RNAcentral. Lineage: Bacteria; Candidatus Kaiseribacteriota.
CAAGCCGCUCCGGGUAAAACUGGAGUCACUAUUCUCAACACUCGAGAAUAUAAAGUAACAGAAUUGUGUCUGGUAAUUGAAUUGCCAAAUCUCGCAGUGAUGCGGGAAGAAAUCCGGCUCAUAACGGUGAAGUCUUAACUGGAGCAUUCGUUCAAGGCGAGUGCGAUGAAGGAAGAUAAUACCGUGGGAAGAUUUGUGGGCUUCAGUGGAUGUACAACGAAGGAGCGUCAAAUGUACUACGUUUUUAUGAUCGGCACUCCGCUCGCCCUGAUUGGGCUGAUCGCGUUGCUGUUGAGUUAGAACGACCGGCAAACCUCAAGCAACAGCUAGAGGUUUGCCAUCCACUGAAGCUCAUAAGUCCCCGUAACGACUUAGCACUCAGAGUGCUGGAGUUGCUUCUGCAUCUUUUCAAAAAGGAGGGCAGAAGCAGCUAAGACGCCGGCUCUCGAUUAAAUAAAUCGAGAUGAAAGUAUAGUCUACGCCCUUAGAAAUAAGGGAACUAACGUGAAGUUCAGACGCGCACGAAUAGUGUAACGACUGGGGAACUGUCUCGGAGCACAGCUCGGUGAAAAUACAAUACCGGUGAAGAUGCCGGUUACCUGCAGAUAGACGAAAAGACCCCAGAAGCUUUACUGUAGCUUGAUAUUGCGCAUACGAUGUGACUGCGUAGCAUAGAUGGGAGAGGUUGAGGUCAUGGUUUCGGCCGUGGCGGACUCGUCAGUGAAAUACCAUUCUUUCUAGUUGUAUGUGCUAACCGGCAGGAUUAAACCUUGUCGAGACAGUAUCUGGUAGGCAGUUUUAGUGGGGCGCUAUCCUCCCAAAAAGUAACGGAGGAGUGUAUUAAGGUCCUCUAGGCGCGAAUGGAAACCGUGCCGAUAGCGCAAUGGCAAAUGAGGGCUUGACUGCAAGUCGUGAAUGACAAGCAGGUGCGAAAGCAGACCAUAGUGAACCGACCAUCCGUAUUAGACGCGGUGGAAGAUUAUCUGACAAAAGCUACUCUGGGGAUAACAGGCUAGUUCCGCCUAAGCGUCCAUAGCGACGGCGGAGUUCGGCACCUCGAUGUCGGCUCACCAUAUCCCGGGGCUGAAGAAGGUCCCAAGGGUUUGGCUGUUCGCCAAUUAAAAUGGUACGCGAGCUGGGUUCAGACCGUAUAUGACGCGAUGCCAAUAUACGAAUGCGUGCGAAUGACGCGAAUUCGAUUCGUAUUAUUUGUGCAAUUCGUGGAUUCGUGUCAUGCACAGUCUGAACCCCACGAGAGAAAAGAAAACUGUUAUAAAACAUGUUCGUCUAAAUGUAAAAGAAAAGAAAGUAGAACCAACCAAUCACGGCGGUCGGCCAGCUCAGCUGGCUGAACAAGCUAACUUAUAUCGGUGGAAUCCUUGCAAGAUACAAGGGCUAUACCGAGGGAACGAGCGAGGUUUGAAUAUUUAAAUAUUUAAAUCUAAUUUGGCCC